This is a long non-coding RNA of Mus musculus (house mouse), 1585 nucleotides long. RefSeq annotates it as predicted gene, 32939. The transcript has 4 exons. Lineage: Eukaryota; Metazoa; Chordata; Mammalia; Rodentia; Muridae. The record is from RefSeq and is a predicted model, not a curated record.
AAGCACCAUAUCUAAGUGGUGUCACAUGUAAGUGCCAUCUCUUGUCCUCGGGACAAAAUGCCCGGGGGAGGGGGACAGAAGCUUAAGGAAGGAGCGGCUUAUUCUGGCUCACAGUCUGAGGAGAUCCAGUCAUCCUGGUUGAAAGGAAGGGCGGCAGGAGCAGGUGGCUGACUGGUCUGAUUGCUUGUGCUGCCAGGAAACAUGCAGCUGAGCAGGAUAUUGAUUGGACCAGGCUACAGAAAUUCAACACCUGCCCAGAGUGACCCACUUCUACGGAGGCUCCCCCACUUAAACAUUCUGCAACCUUCCAAAUCGCCACCAGCUGGAACCAAAUGUUCAAGUACUUGAUCCCCUGGGGGACAUUUUACAUUCAAACCUCAGCCUGUGGGAUAGAUGCUCAGUUGGAAAGCAAGCGCCAAGGCAGAGCAGCUGGAGCUUGCGGUGAUGGGGCAGGCUGUUUCUUAGGGAGAUUGCUCUAAUCUAAGAGGGAGCAGGAAGCCAAAGCCGGGAGAAGAUAGAAGAACUGGGAAAAUAGAUCCUGUAAGAACAAAAGAGAAGCCAUUGAAAGAAGUAAAAGAAAGCAUCCUUCCAGGUUCUGGAGAUGCAACAGUGAGCAAAACAGAUGCCUAGCUCUCGUGGGAAGGAGACAGUAAGCCAACAGGCGGAUGAGCAUGUAAAAACAUCAGAAGAGACCACAGUUGGUAACGAGGCAAAGUCGGAGAUUGGCAUAAUAUGUUGUUUUGCAAGACCCACAGGAGAAGAGCAUAAAGCCGGUGUUCCUUGGACAGGCAGGCAGCCUGGUCCAAGUGCAUCUAUAAACCGUAACCGCCCACACCCAAAGGCAGCGUGUAAGACAAAAAAAGCAGUUUAGAAGAUUCCCAUUAGCAAGGAUAAAAGAGGACCACUAUGGGCCAGAUGAAAGGGACUCAUCUCUACCCAGGGCACUGAGCACUGUUUAAGCACUCUUAAAGUCGGCUAAUACUAACGAUCAGCCCUCAUUGUAAGCACUCCCUCUGAUGUUCAUUUUCCAGUAAAUAAGCAAAGAUGUUGGGGGAUGGGCUAUCUGACUUCCUAAUUGGCAGCUGUUGGACUCUCCUUUGUUGCCCUGGCCGCCUUGAGCAAAAGGACUGUCAAUCAAAAGCCAGCUGGACUACACUUAAUGCCAACACUGGCUGUGUCGAAUACUCCACAGGCGCUUUGAGAGGACAACGCUCUGAAUGCAGCUGGCUGUUCCUGCACCUGAAGGGGUGGCCUCGGCCAGGGCUGUUCAAACAGACAGCAACUGGACUGUUUGGUAUCACAAGCCUCAGUGAACUCAGGUUACCCUGUAACCACUUCCAACCUAAGCCAGAGGGGGAGUGCCAUGGAGAGAAAAGCGGCUGUGACUAGGGCUAAAGAGACAGGGCUCUGAUUGGUGCAAACACAAACCCUCAUUUGCAUGUGGUUUGCUCUGAUUGGAGCAAGCUCCCCUCCCUCCUCUAGCUACAGAAGCAGGCAAUUUAGUAAGCAUCCUGGCAGACGCACCUUCUUGUACUGCCUUCCCAUGUAGCAAUGUUAUGCCCAAUAAAAGGCUUCUCUUGAGUGA